GACAGAGGUGCCGAGCGUUAGGCGGAAUCACUGGGCUUAAAGCGUGUGUAGGCGGACCGUUAAGUACAUUGUGAAAUCCCCCGGCUCAACCGGGGAACGGCUGGGUAUACUGGCGGUCUUGAGCCAUCCAGGGGCAGUCGGAACAGACGGUGGAGCGGUGAAAUGCGUAGAUAUCGUCUGGAACGCCGAAGGUGAAAACAGACUGCUGGGGAUGAGCUGACGCUGAGACACGAAAGCCAGGGGAGCGAACGGG
RNAcentral lists this ribosomal RNA (253 nucleotides) under uncultured bacterium. Its description in RNAcentral is "partial 16S ribosomal RNA". It matches the Rfam family "Bacterial small subunit ribosomal RNA", at positions 524 to 776 of the family's 1533-position model. The record is from RNAcentral.